RNAcentral lists this ribosomal RNA (521 nucleotides) under uncultured bacterium. RNAcentral's name for it is "bacterial SSU rRNA". It matches the Rfam family "Bacterial small subunit ribosomal RNA", at positions 8 to 518 of the family's 1533-position model. The record is from RNAcentral.
AGGGUUCGAUUCUGGCUCAGGAUGAACGCUAGCGGCAGGCUUAACACAUGCAAGUCGAGGGGUAACGGGGCGUAGCAAUACGCUGCCGACGACCGGCGCACGGGUGCGUAACGCGUAUGCAACCUACCUGUAACAGGGGGAUAACGGAGAGAAAUUUCCACUAAUACCCCGUAUGGUUAGGGGAUCGCAUGGUUCUUUAACGAAAGCUUCGGUGGUUACGGAUGGGCAUGCGUGACAUUAGGUAGUUGGUAAGGCAACGGCUUACCAAGCCGACGAUGUCUAGGGGAGCUGAGAGGCUCGAACCCCCACACUGGUACUGAGACGCGGACCAGACUCCUACGGGAGGCAGCAGUGAGGAAUAUUGGUCAAUGGAGGGAACUCUGAACCAGCCAUGCCGCGUGGGGGGAAAAGAAGGCCCUAUGGGUUGUAAACCUCUUUUGACGUGGGGCAAUAAGGGUCUUGCGAGGCCUGAUGAGAGUACACGUCGAAUAAGCAUCGGCUAACUCCGUGCCAGCAGCAGC